GGGGGGGGGGGGGGGGGGGGGGGGGGGGGGGGGGGGGAGGGGGGGGGCGGGGGGUUGGGGGGUGCGCGGGGGGCGCGCGGGGGGGGGGCGCGGGGGUCAGCUGGCCUUGACUUUGGGGUAACUUCGGGGAACUGGGGCUAAUACCGGCUCGGCGCUCCUGCUGCGUGGUGGGUGCUGGAACGUUUCGGCGGUUGGGGAUGGCCUCGCGGCUUAUCAGCUUGUUGGUGGGGUAGUGGCUUACCAAGGCUUUGACGGGUAGCCGGCCUGAGAGGGUGACCGGCCACAUUGGGACUGAGAUACGGCCCAGACUCCUACGGGAGGCAGCAGUGGGGAAUAUUGCACAAUGGGCGGAAGCCUGAUGCAGCAACGCCGCGUGCGGGAUGACGGCCUUCGGGUUGUAAACCGCUUUCGCCUGUGACGAAGCGUGAGUGACGGUAAUGGGUAAAGAAGCACCGGCUAACUACGUG
RNAcentral lists this ribosomal RNA (467 nucleotides) under uncultured bacterium. RNAcentral describes it as "partial 16S ribosomal RNA". It matches the Rfam family "Bacterial small subunit ribosomal RNA", at positions 38 to 507 of the family's 1533-position model. The record is from RNAcentral.